GACAGAGGCCUCAAGCGUUAGGCGGAAUCACUGGGCUUAAAGCGUGUGUAGGCGGGUCGUUAAGUACCUUGUGAAAUCCCACGGCUCACCCGUGGAACUGCUGGGUAUGACUGGGCGAUCUUGGGCCAACUAGGGGCAACUGGAACAAGCGGUGGAGCGGUGAAAUGCGUAGAUAAUCGCUUGGAACGCCAAAGGGUGAAAACAGGUUGCUGGGGUUGUG
This 220-nucleotide ribosomal RNA is filed under the name uncultured bacterium. RNAcentral describes it as "partial 16S ribosomal RNA". It matches the Rfam family "Bacterial small subunit ribosomal RNA", at positions 524 to 739 of the family's 1533-position model. The record is from RNAcentral.